Non-coding RNA from Musa acuminata subsp. malaccensis (wild Malaysian banana), 439 nucleotides. The record is from RefSeq and is a predicted model, not a curated record. Lineage: Eukaryota; Viridiplantae; Streptophyta; Magnoliopsida; Zingiberales; Musaceae.
GUCCUGCAACAAGAUCCAAGUGAUAUGAAGUCGUUCUAAGGACCCGAGGGCUUCUAAUUCAACUGUGGAACACCAGUCUUCACCACCUUGCUCUCCUGUUCUGGAACCACACUUCCACCUGCCGAGGCCGAAGGAUUUCGUCUUUGAUUCAAACCGGAUUGAGACUGCUGUGCUCCUUAAACUUGUCUUCCAAAAGGGAAGACUGCUCCUUGGGAUGAUGACUCUGAGGAGGAGGAGAGUGCCUGCUACCAAUAUCUCUACCCAUCUCAACUUCCACCGAGGCACAGACGUCGCCGGGGAGUGCGAGGGUGAGAGAGGGCUCAAGUGCCUUGGGAGUCGAAGAAGAUCUUUGCAGCUCGAGUCCAGAGCUCGAAUGGGGACGACUACCGAUCGAGAGAUCGCUUCUCCCAUCAUAACUCAGCGUAAGAGAAAGGCCAGU